CCACCACUAAGCCAGUGGUGAACUCCACAUACGCAUCCUUUGCUGAGGAUACGGUUAACGGAGCGAAAGCGACGUUCAACCUCAAAAGAAGCAGAGGGGGCUUAGUGGUGGGGUGACUGCGUACCUUUUGUAUAAUGGGUCAGCGACUUAUAUUCUGUAGCAAGGUUAACCGUAUAGGGGAGCCGGAGGGAAACCGAGUCUUAACCGGGCGUUAAGUUGCAGGGUAUAGACCCGAAACCCGGUGAUCUAGCCAUGGGCAGGUUGAAGGUUGGGUAACACUAACUGGAGGACCGAACCGACUAAUGUUGAAAAAUUAGCGGAUGACCUGUGGCUGGGGGUGAAAGGCCAAUCAAACCGGGAGAUAGCUGGUUCUCCCCGAAAGCUAUUUAGGUAGCGCCUCGUGAAUUCAUCUCCGGGGGUAGAGCACUGUUUCGGCUAGGGGGCCAUCCCGGCUUACCAACCCGAUGCAAACUGCGAAUACCGGAGAAUGUUAUCACGGGAGACACACGGCGGGUGCUAACGUCCGUCGUGAAGAGGGAAACAACCCAGACCGCCAGCUAAGGUCCCAAAGUCAUGGUUAAGUGGGAAACGAUGUGGGAAGGCCCAGACAGCCAGGAUGUUGGCUUAGAAGCAGCCAUCAUUUAAAGAAAGCGUAAUAGCUCACUGGUCGAGUCGGCCUGCGCGGAAGAUGUAACGGGGCUAAACCAU
RNAcentral lists this ribosomal RNA (708 nucleotides) under Salmonella enterica subsp. enterica serovar Rissen. RNAcentral describes it as "partial 23S ribosomal RNA". The stretch from base 89 to 708 matches the Rfam family "Bacterial large subunit ribosomal RNA", at positions 568 to 1190 of the family's 2925-position model. Lineage: Bacteria; Pseudomonadati; Pseudomonadota; Gammaproteobacteria; Enterobacterales; Enterobacteriaceae. The record is from RNAcentral.